This 773-nucleotide ribosomal RNA is filed under the name Tylos sp. clade I MM-2013. RNAcentral describes it as "partial 18S small subunit ribosomal RNA". It matches the Rfam family "Eukaryotic small subunit ribosomal RNA", at positions 460 to 873 of the family's 1831-position model. The record is from RNAcentral. Lineage: Eukaryota; Metazoa; Arthropoda; Malacostraca; Isopoda; Tylidae.
GGAGGUAGUGACGUGAAAUAACGAUGCGGGACUCUUCCGAGGCCUCGCAAUCGGAAUGAGUUAACUUUAAAUCCUUUCGACGAGGAUCGAUUGGAGGGCAAGUCUGGUGCCAGCAGCCGCGGUAAUUCCAGCUCCAAUAGCGUAUAUUAAAGUUGCUGCGGUUAAAAAGCUCGUAGUUGAAUCUCACGAUUCAACAGGAGGUGAGCGCCGUGGUGGUAGUAGUAGCAGCAGUUGCUACUAUAAUUCUCCUUCUCAUUCUUCUCGUUGCGGAAGAAGAAGAAGGAGGAUGUCGAAUGCUCCAAGAGGGUGUUAAUAAGACGGUACUAGUUGAUAUUCCGACGGUGGUGGUAGCGGAGGCGGUCGUCGAUGAUGCUGCUGCUGCUGCUGCAGCUGUUGGUACUGCUGCGGUGGUGGUAACAAAAAACUGACGAUGGCCGUCGCCGCUGCUACUACUACUUCCUUCAUCGACGAUUCCCUAUUCGUAGCAUUGUUUCCUACUACUACUGCUCCUUCUUCUUCUUUUCGACAGUAGAAGCUGUUGUUUUUUAUUAUUACUUCCUCCUCCUCCGCGGAUGCUGCUGCUGCUGCUGCUGCUGCUGUUGCUGCUGCUGGCUCUCGCGCGCUCGCGUUCGGUCGGCAACUUCACUUUGACAAAAUUAGAGUGCUCAGAGCGGGCAAGAUCUGAAGCCCGAAUGGAGGUGCAUAGAAUGAUCUAAGAUGACCUCGCGAUCUAAACGUUUGUCGGUUUAUGGGGUCGCGAGGUAAUGAUUAAA